Molecule: long non-coding RNA, 254 nt
Filed under: Lathyrus oleraceus (garden pea)
Lineage: Eukaryota; Viridiplantae; Streptophyta; Magnoliopsida; Fabales; Fabaceae
Description: Pisum sativum (pea) long non-coding RNA (PSAT_LNC027344)
Source: RNAcentral
UCAGACCAUACUUAUAAAGCUUUUACUAUAUAGUUCUUACUAACCAUAUUUAUAAUCAGACCAUAUAAGCAUACUAACUAGAAAUAUAGUUCUUACUAAAAUAACAAGUUAUGAUGAAUCAUCGUGGGUAAUAUCAUUUCAAGAAAAAUAACAUUUCUAGAAAAACAACAUUGUUUCUAGUUAGUACGUAACACCAUUUCUAUUUUUUAAGAACUAUGGUUAGUACAUUUUAGUAAUAUUACAAUUUCUAUGAA